RNAcentral lists this transfer RNA (87 nucleotides) under Mycolicibacterium aromaticivorans JS19b1 = JCM 16368. RNAcentral describes it as "tRNA-Leu". It matches the Rfam family "tRNA". From Rfam's summary of the family: Transfer RNA (tRNA) molecules are approximately 80 nucleotides in length. Their secondary structure includes four short double-helical elements and three loops (D, anti-codon, and T loops). The record is from RNAcentral. Lineage: Bacteria; Bacillati; Actinomycetota; Actinomycetes; Mycobacteriales; Mycobacteriaceae.
GCGGGCGUGGCGGAAUUGGUAGACGCCAUGGCUUUAGGUGCCAUUGUUCGAAAGAGCGUGUGGGUUCGAGUCCCUCCGCCCGCACAA